GAAAUGCGAUAAGUAAUGUGAAUUGCAGAAUUCCGUGAAUCAUCGAAUCUUUGAACGCAGAUUGCGCCCUCUGGUAUUCCGGGGGGCAUGCCUGUCCGAGCGUCAUUACGCACCCUCAAGCCCGGCUUGUGUGAUGGGCCCCGGCGUCUCGUUCGCGAGACGGGCCCGAAAGGCAGCGGCGGCGUCGACCCGAUGAGCCCGAGCGUAUGGGGACUUCUGUCACACGUUCGCGGUGCGGACCGGCGCCUGCUUGACUUUUCUGAUUAUCCAGGUUGACCUCGGAUCAGGUAGGGAUACCCGCUGAACUUAAGC
RNAcentral lists this unclassified non-coding RNA (312 nucleotides) under plant metagenome. RNAcentral's name for it is "partial contains 5.8S ribosomal RNA, internal transcribed spacer 2, and large subunit ribosomal RNA". The stretch from base 1 to 105 matches the Rfam family "5.8S ribosomal RNA", at positions 50 to 154 of the family's 154-position model. The record is from RNAcentral.